Molecule: ribosomal RNA, 421 nt
Filed under: uncultured bacterium
Lineage: Bacteria
Description: bacterial SSU rRNA
Rfam family: Bacterial small subunit ribosomal RNA
Source: RNAcentral
UGAACGCUGGCGGCGUGCUUAACACAUGCAAGUCGAACGAACCUUCGGGUUAGUGGCGGACGGGUGAGUAACGCGUGAGAAUCUGCCCUCAGGAGGGGGAUAACAGCUGGAAACGGCUGCUAAUACCCCAUAUGCCGCGAGGUGAAAUGAAUUUCGCCUGAGGAUGAGCUCGCGUCUGAUUAGCUAGUUGGUGUAGGUAAUGGCUCACCAAGGCAUCGAUCAGUAGCUGGUCUGAGAGGAUGAUCAGCCACACUGGGACUGAGACACGGCCCAGACUCCUACGGGAGGCAGCAGUGGGGAAUUUUCCGCAAUGGGCGAAAGCCUGACGGAGCAACGCCGCGUGAGGGAUGAAGGCCUCUGGGCUGUAAACCUCUUUUAUCAAGGAAGAAGAUCUGACGGUACUUGAUGAAUAAGCCACGGC